CCCAUGCAGACACCAGGACCUCCACUGGUUAGGUUUAAACUCAGGACAUGUUAUUUAGCCUCUUUAAUUCUUUGUUUCCUCAUAUGUAAAAGGAAAAUCAAAAUAGCUCUCCCUCACCAGGUUGUUGUGAAGAUUACCUGAGUGGUGAUGUCUGCCUGUGAAGUUCUCAGAACCAUUUCUAAUGCACCCUAAAUCCUCAAAAAAA
This 205-nucleotide long non-coding RNA is filed under the name Homo sapiens (human). RNAcentral's name for it is "non-protein coding lnc-TAS2R1-8:1". The record is from RNAcentral. Lineage: Eukaryota; Metazoa; Chordata; Mammalia; Primates; Hominidae.